Meriones unguiculatus (Mongolian gerbil) is the source of this 104-nucleotide small nuclear RNA. NCBI's taxonomy places the organism in Eukaryota, Metazoa, Chordata, Mammalia, Rodentia, Muridae. The record is from RefSeq and is a predicted model, not a curated record.
GUGCUCACUUCGGCAGCACAUACGCUAAAAUUGGAACAUUACAGAGAUUAGCAUAGCCCUUGUGCAAGGAAGACACGCAAAUUCAUGAAGCAUUCCAAAAAAAA